UCCAGUCAACCCUAAGUUAGUUUUCUCUAGAAAUAGUAACUCAAGGCUGAGAAUGGAAUGUAGGGUGUAUUUCUGAGGUGUAGAAGAUCUCGCUUCUAACAAAUAGGAUGUGGGUUAUUUGGUAGUAUUGUACACUUGUUACAUGAACACAGGCUCUCAUAACAGUACACCUAGCUGGACAGCAUGGAGGAGUUUCAAAAUUUUGGAAAGAAAGUAAUGAGUAAAUGCCCCCCCCUCCCAUGAUACUUAACAAAAUGUAUUUUAAUUGUCUAAAACCUUGCAAGCUCAAUGGAUGUGUUAAAUGUGGCAACUAAUUCUAAACUAUUUUCCUUCCAGGUAUCUGGAAGGAGCCAAGACGAGAAGAAUUUAGAAGAAAUGUGUGAAAAUGCAAUGGCAUUUCGUGGUUGACUCAUGGUUUGUGAGCUUCAUUCUGCUGCAUGCGACAUCGAAAGAUUUUCGGAAAUACAUGAUGAGAAAUCUGGCAAAAAUCUUGUUUGGAAAGAAAGUUUGGAAAAACGAAAAUUAAGUGUUUUGAUAAAAAUAAUAUUGACUUCAUUCAUACUGGAAAGCAAUUUAAUAGUGCCUUCCGUACAUUACAAGUAACACUUAAUGUUCUGCUACCCAUAACUUAUGUAACUUAUUGUGUGUAGAAGUUUCUAAAGACUGUGAAACGUAAAUAUUGUUCCGAAAGCCUUACUUUAAAAAAAACCUUUGGAAUUGCAUGGAAAGUAUCAUUUCACCUUGAGCACGGACCGAUGAGGACUGCUUUGUCUACAUCCAGAUAUAUUAAUUUAAAAUGUAUAGUAUAACUAUACGGUACUAAACAAAUUAGCCUCUGAAAAAUAUGAAGAUAGUUUCUUAAAUGUACAUAAUCAGCGAUCUCUUGCUUGUGCAUAAAUGUAUGAAAUUGUAAUGGAGAGUGAAUAACUUAGACCGUAUUAAAAAGCACUGCUUGGAAAAUAUUCUAAAUUUUGUUAUAAAAGCGUCAUUUCUUAAAAAUUAUUGUAUUCAAAGAGUGAUUUGCUGAGACACAUAUCAAGGAAAAGACAUUAGUAAAACAUAUAAAUUUGUGUUAACCCUAAAUGACGCUUUGAAUUAAUAUGUAAUUGUUUGGUAAGUUUUGCAUUUUGCUUAUGCUUACAUAAAGUGUUAGAAAUAUUAACGAAACAUCUAAUAUUUCGGCAAUUUGUAUAACUUAAUUUGUUUUACUGUAUUAUAUAAGCAAAAUUCGAGAUUUAAUAGAAAUCUAAUUUCUAAUUAGAAAUUUAGGUGACAUAAAUAUUUUAAUUGUAUUUUACAAUUUCUACUUAUAGCAAAAAAGAGAAAUCAGUAUUAUUAGUUUUAAUGCAGUGUGAUAAAGAAUGACCAUAAUGUAUGAGCUAAUGCUUUUGUUUUAAUAAUAUUUUUUAUUCUUCAGUUGACAUAUAUACUUAACAGGAUUUCUCUUAAAAAAAUGCAAGUUCCUAUAUUUCUUACACUUGAUGAAAAACUUUAAAGUUCCAUUGUAAGCUCUAAAUACUGAUUCCAGAAGAAACAAAGUGACGUUUGUACCAAAUGCCAACAUCAGAAAUUAAGAACGAACUGAGCACUAAUCUGAAAGAACUGAUUUUUUAAAUUUACUUAUUUAAGAAUCAGGAGAGACUGAUAAGUAAGAAAUUCUAAUAGUUUUAUAUGGAUAUAUCCAUUUCCUUAUUUCUCCUGUCCAUUUUCCUUACCAUUUCUUUAUUCUCCUUUCCAUUUUCCUUAGCAUUUCUAUAUUCUCCUUUCCAUUUUCCUCAUCAGAAUGUAAAUAACUGUAACUAAUAUAACAAUUCAUAAUCCCUAAUGAACAAUAAAAAAUUGAAGUACUGAUAUAAUUUUGAUGGAAUUUACCAAACUACCAUAGCAAACAUUUUUCUCAUGUACUUUUAUAACUUAAACUUCAAUUAUUUUAUUAUUGUAUAACUAGCAUUAUGAAUAUUGUUAUCUAGUAUUUCUGAAAACAAAUUAAUUCUAAAUAUAAAUAGGCCGUUAUAACAUUUUAUUUAUAUGUGUAAGACAUCAAGUUUUUGAUUUUACAAACUGUUUAACUCUCUCAUGAAACACAGAAUAUACUGUUAUUGUUUAUAUGUUUGUUGUUUCUUAUGUGUUUAUCUAAGUGCAAAAAUCUUAAUGUCCUGCUGCAGCUGCAUUGAUAUGCAAAUAUAUACUGCUAUUUUAUUUCUUGCAUACAUAAGCAUAAAUAAUUUGCAAAUAAAUCAUUAUAGAGAUAGUUUUAUA
This is a long non-coding RNA of Stegodyphus dumicola, 2259 nucleotides long. NCBI's taxonomy places the organism in Eukaryota, Metazoa, Arthropoda, Arachnida, Araneae, Eresidae. The record is from RefSeq and is a predicted model, not a curated record.